RNAcentral lists this ribosomal RNA (253 nucleotides) under uncultured Oscillospira sp. RNAcentral's name for it is "partial 16S ribosomal RNA". It matches the Rfam family "Bacterial small subunit ribosomal RNA", at positions 524 to 776 of the family's 1533-position model. Lineage: Bacteria; Bacillati; Bacillota; Clostridia; Eubacteriales; Oscillospiraceae. The record is from RNAcentral.
UACGUAGGUGGCAAGCGUUAUCCGGAUUUACUGGGUGUAAAGGGCGUGUAGGCGGGAUGGUAAGUCAGAUGUGAAAACUAUGGGCUCAACCCAUAGCCUGCAUUUGAAACUAUCGUUCUUGAGUGUUGGAGAGGCAGGCGGAAUUCCGUGUGUAGCGGUGAAAUGCAUAGAUAUCACGCAGAACGCCGAUUGCGAAGGCAGCUUACCGGCGCUCAACUGACGCUGAGGCACGAAAGUGCGGGUAUCGAACAGG